RNAcentral lists this ribosomal RNA (270 nucleotides) under uncultured archaeon. RNAcentral describes it as "partial 16S ribosomal RNA". It matches the Rfam family "Archaeal small subunit ribosomal RNA", at positions 477 to 747 of the family's 1478-position model. The record is from RNAcentral.
CAGCACCUCAAGUGGUCAGGAUGAUUAUUGGGCCUAAAGCAUCCGUAGCCGGCGCUGUAAGUUUUCGGUUAAAUCUGUACGCUCAACGUACAGGCUGCCGGGAAUACUGCAGCGCUAGGGAGUGGGAGAGGUAGACGGUACUCGGUAGGAAGGGGUAAAAUCCUUUGAUCUAUUGAUGACCACCUGUGGCGAAGGCGGUCUACCAGAACACGUCCGACGGUGAGGGACGAAAGCUAGGGGAGCAAAACGGAUUAGAGACCCGAGUAGUCC